GGCGAGAUGUCAGGCGCUGUGAGGUGAGGCUCUCGCAAACUUUACAGUAAUUCUCAGAUCAGUAUAUAUUUCUUGACUUCCUGCUUUCGCUACAUUACGCCAAAUCCGAGUUGAAUGCAAGGGCCUUGAACUGAAUCUAGAGCUUUCAUAAAGACACUCCAAGACAUUUACCUGCUUUGUUCAGCUGCAGCAAUCGCCAUUUGUUUCCUAUCAUCUGGCAGUUCCUUUGAUCUUAUCGAACAGCCAUUCGCAGGGAAUUGGUGGCAACUUUUAAACCAUCCAGAUGCAAUUAAGCUUCUCAGACAGAAACCAAAA
This is a non-coding RNA of Bemisia tabaci, 315 nucleotides long. Lineage: Eukaryota; Metazoa; Arthropoda; Insecta; Hemiptera; Aleyrodidae. The record is from RefSeq and is a predicted model, not a curated record.